AUGCAAGUCGCACGAGAAAGGGGCAACCUGAGUAAAGUGGCGUACGGGUGAGUAACACGUGGAUUAUCUACCUUUUGGUGGGGAAUAACUCUGGGAAACCGGAGCUAAUACCGCAUAAGCCUGAGAAGGGAAAGCCUUACGGCGCCGAGAGAGGAGUCCGCGGCCGAUUAGCUAGUUGGUAGGGUAAUAGCCUACCAAGGCAAUGAUCGGUAGCCGGCCUGAGAGGGCACACGGCCACACUGGCACUGAAACACGGGCCAGACUCCUACGGGAGGCAGCAGUGGGGAAUCUUGCACAAUGGGGGAAACCCUGAUGCAGCGACGCCGCGUGAGCGAUGAAGCCCUUCGGGGUGUAAAGCUCUUUCGGCAGGAACGAUAAUGACGGUACCUGAAGAAGAAGCUGCGGCUAGCUACGUGCCAGCAGCCGCGGUAAUACGUAGGCAGCAAGCGUGGUUCGGAGUUACUGGGCGUAAAGAGUGUGUA
This 482-nucleotide ribosomal RNA is filed under the name uncultured bacterium. Its description in RNAcentral is "bacterial SSU rRNA". It matches the Rfam family "Bacterial small subunit ribosomal RNA", at positions 55 to 573 of the family's 1533-position model. The record is from RNAcentral.